RNAcentral lists this ribosomal RNA (429 nucleotides) under Chloroflexota bacterium. Its description in RNAcentral is "Chloroflexi bacterium partial 16S ribosomal RNA". It matches the Rfam family "Bacterial small subunit ribosomal RNA", at positions 355 to 776 of the family's 1533-position model. Lineage: Bacteria; Bacillati; Chloroflexota. The record is from RNAcentral.
UGGGGAAUAUUGCACAAUGGGCGCAAGCCUGAUGCAGCCAUGCCGUGUGUAUGAAGAAGGCCUUCGGGUUGUAAAGUACUUUCAGUCGGGAGGAAGGUGGUAAGGUUAAUAACCUUAUCAAUUGACGUUACUGACAGAAGAAGCACCGGCUAACUCCGUGCCAGCAGCCGUGGUAAUUCGGAGGGUGCAAGCGUUAAUCGGAAUUACUGGGCGUAAAGCGUACGCAGGCGGUUGAUUGAGUCAGAUGUGAAAUCCCCGGGCUUAACCCGGGAGAUGCAUCUGAUACUGUGCGGAUAGAGUCUUGUAGAGGGGGGUAGAAUUCCAUGUGUGGCGGUGAAAUGCGUAGAGAUGUGGAGGAGUACCGGAGGCGAAGACGGCACCCGGGGCGAAGACUGACGCUCAGGUGCGAAAGAGUGGGGAGCAAACAGG